This 604-nucleotide ribosomal RNA is filed under the name uncultured bacterium. RNAcentral describes it as "bacterial SSU rRNA". It matches the Rfam family "Bacterial small subunit ribosomal RNA", at positions 48 to 641 of the family's 1533-position model. The record is from RNAcentral.
UUAACACAUGCAAGUCGAGCGGUAACAGAGAUAGCUUGCUAUCUGCUGACGAGCGGCGGACGGGUGAGUAAUGCUUGGGAAUAUGCCUUUGAGUGGGGGACAACAGUUGGAAACGACUGCUAAUACCGCAUAACGUCUACGGACCAAAGGGGGGGAUGCUUCGGCACCUCUCGCUCAUUGAUUAGCCCAAGUGAGAUUAGCUAGUUGGUAAGGUAAUGGCUUACCAAGGCGACGAUCUCUAGCUGAUUUGAGAGGAUGAUCAGCCACACUGGGACUGAGACACGGCCCAGACUCCUACGGGAGGCAGCAGUGGGGAAUAUUGCACAAUGGGCGAAAGCCUGAUGCAGCCAUGCCGCGUGUGUGAAGAAGGCCUUCGGGUUGUAAAGCACUUUCAGCGAGGAGGAAAGGUUAGUAGUUAAUAGCUGCUAGCUGUGACGUUACUCGCAGAAGAAGCACCGGCUAACUUCGUGCCAGCAGCCGCGGUAAUACGAGGGGUGCAAGCGUUAAUCGGAAUUACUGGGCGUAAAGCGUGCGUANGUGGUUUGUUAAGCAAGAUGUGAAAGCCCCGGGCUCAACCUGGGAACUGCAUUUUGAACUGGCAAAC